Molecule: long non-coding RNA, 910 nt
Organism: Syzygium oleosum
Lineage: Eukaryota; Viridiplantae; Streptophyta; Magnoliopsida; Myrtales; Myrtaceae
Exons: 2
Source: RefSeq, a predicted model, not a curated record
AGCUCUCAGAAAACCCUCUCUUCUCCAUGAACAGCCUUCACAUUUCACAUAGGGUACCCAAGAUGAGAAAAACAGAUCCCCCAAGAAAACAAGGAGAGAAAAACACAGAGAGAGAUCCAAUUCCCAGAAAAACACCAGUUCUUGAAGCAGACAGUUUUGCUUUUAGUUCACUCAUCAUCAUCAUCAUCAUCAUCAUGCACCACUAACUGCUGAAGCUGCCAGCAUGAUCUGAGCUUUCAAUGGAAGAAGCUGUCAGAUCAUCUGGCAGUUUCAACUGUUGCUGGAAGCAUGAGAAAUCUCAAAACCGAAAAGAAAAACCCUACUUUUUCUCUGAUCUUCACAUUGAUCUAGCCGUUCACAAUUUCAAGGACCCCUCUUGAGAUAAGGUUCGGCUGAUGAAUAUCGGCUUGUUUAAAAAGGGUUUCACAUUCAUCUUGAAUGCAGUGGUCUUUUGCAGUCAGGUGCGACAAGAAAGUUUCCUCCUUACUGACUAGAGAAGCAGCGAUACAUGUCCAACCGGCUCUGUAUAAGCCUAUGUCGCUCAUAGCCAUAAUAAUUGACAUGAGCAAAUCCGUUAGUUUUGUGUUGCAGCAACUCGCGCAUUUAUACAUGAAGAUCAUGAUAUAGCAGGGUUUCUUCUCAGGGUUUUAUUUUACAAGUUUUGCUUGUUCCGACGAUUGGUGUAGCUAGAUUUGAGAUGAUGCCUUUACAAGGUAUAUGGCUGAUUGUCAUGGGGGUUGUGAAUUUUUCGAACCGUUUUAUAGGUUCUACUUUUUUCCAGCUAAGUGUUUGCACAAGGUGGAAUUUUCUUGUUGAAGUUGUAGAUCUAUUGCGAUUAUGUUACGAAAUUCAUUGUGGCUGAGAUAUUAAAUCAGCAGGGCAUGAACUAAUCACCAUCUUCUAUUUCUUC